AGAGUUUGAUCCUGGCUCAGGAUGAACGCUAGCUACAGGCUUAACACAUGCAAGUCGAGGGGCAGCAUGUUGGUUGCUUGCAACCAACGAUGGCGACCGGCGCACGGGUGAGUAACGCGUAUCCAACCUACCCUUGUCCAUCGGAUAACCCGUCGAAAGGCGGCCUAACACGAUAUGCGGUUCACAGCAGGCAUCUAACGUGAACGAAAUGUAAAGGAGAAGGAUGGGGAUGCGUCUGAUUAGCUUGUUGGCGGGGUAACGGCCACCGAAGGCUACGAUCAGUAGGGGUUCUGAGAGGAAGGUCCCCCANAUUGGAACUGAGACACGGUUCAAACUCCUACGGGAGGC
This 348-nucleotide ribosomal RNA is filed under the name uncultured bacterium. RNAcentral describes it as "bacterial SSU rRNA". It matches the Rfam family "Bacterial small subunit ribosomal RNA", at positions 8 to 349 of the family's 1533-position model. The record is from RNAcentral.